UGAGAUUAAAGAUAUGUGCCACCAUGC
This 27-nucleotide non-coding RNA is filed under the name Mus musculus (house mouse). Lineage: Eukaryota; Metazoa; Chordata; Mammalia; Rodentia; Muridae. The record is from RNAcentral.